AGGCAGGGAUGAGUCCUGAGCAUAGGAGCUUACAGUCUAUAAGAGGAGAUACAAGAGGUGGGGGAGAAUCCCGACCACAGAAGCUUACAAUCUAUAAGAGGAGAUACUAGAGGUGGGGAUGUAUUCUGACCACAGGAGCUUACAAUCUAUAAGAUGAGAUACUAGAGGUGGGGGAGAAGUAAGACUCCCGACCAUAGGAGCUUACAAUCUAUAAGAGGCGAUACAAGAGGUGGGGGUAUGAGGAAGAGUCCUGACCACAGGAGCUUACAGUCUAAAGGUGAAAUACAAGAGGUGGGGAGGAG
This is a long non-coding RNA of Bufo bufo (common toad), 302 nucleotides long. RefSeq lists it as uncharacterized. The transcript has 3 exons. The record is from RefSeq and is a predicted model, not a curated record. NCBI's taxonomy places the organism in Eukaryota, Metazoa, Chordata, Amphibia, Anura, Bufonidae.